UACGUAGGGUGCAAGCGUUAAUCGGAAUUACUGGGCGUAAAGCGUGCGCAGGCGGUUAUGUAAGACAGAUGUGAAAUGCCCGGGCUUAACCUGGGAACUGCAUUUGUGACUGCAUGGCUAGAGUUUGGCAGAGGGGGGUAGAAUUCCACGUGUAGUGGUGAAAUGCGUAGAGAUGCGGAGGAACACCAGUGGCGAAGGCGGUCUGCUGGGUCUCAACUGACGCUGAGGCGCGAAAGCGUGGGGAGCGAACGGG
Molecule: ribosomal RNA, 253 nt
Filed under: uncultured bacterium
Lineage: Bacteria
Description: partial 16S ribosomal RNA
Rfam family: Bacterial small subunit ribosomal RNA
Source: RNAcentral